AUGGCGCUCUGUACCGGGUUCACAGUCACCUUUUGUCGGCUAAAUUUAACUGUACAGACCGCUAAACUCAACUAUCAUGUGACCGGUCGUCACGUGACCGGCCGGCGGUAAUUUCGUAGGAUAUCAAACAUAUUGUUGUGCAUACGUUUUCUUACAAUGUACGAACCCGUUCAUGAGAGUGCGUUGUCAGGGUUAUCUGAUUACAUCAUCAUUUUAAAGUAAAUAUAUAAAUAUUUUUUAUAUAAACUACAGCAGUGUUUCUCAAAUGGGGGUACGCAUUCCCCUAGGGGUGCUUUGGAGUACUGCAGGGGUGAGUGAGAGUUUUGCAAAAUGCUAAUUUCAAAAUGUCAUGCAUUACUCUUAAAAUAGUACAAUUAUAAUCAAUGAAUUAAGUGAUGGAUUCAAAACAUUUGAAAUGUAGGAUUUGAAUGUUUUUCAGUUACAAGGCUGUUGUUUAGUAAAUCUAUCACUGCC
Long non-coding RNA from Sander lucioperca (pikeperch), 474 nucleotides. RefSeq lists it as uncharacterized. Lineage: Eukaryota; Metazoa; Chordata; Actinopteri; Perciformes; Percidae. The record is from RefSeq and is a predicted model, not a curated record. The transcript has 3 exons.